This is a long non-coding RNA of Photinus pyralis (common eastern firefly), 371 nucleotides long. RefSeq lists it as uncharacterized. The record is from RefSeq and is a predicted model, not a curated record. The transcript has 2 exons. NCBI's taxonomy places the organism in Eukaryota, Metazoa, Arthropoda, Insecta, Coleoptera, Lampyridae.
AAUUGGCGCGAAGGAAGUAUUGCGUUUCUAAUUCACCAUGAAACCUUCACUACUAAUCGUAAUUGCCUGCCUCUUGAUAUUUUACAAUUCGGUUUCCUGUGAAGAAAUUCGGGACGGGAACGAAGAUCAUACGCAAAACAUAUCAGAAGAAGACGCUCGCAGUCUAAUCGUCCAAGCUGCUUGGGGCUGAAGGGAGAACAAAGAGCCAAUAAAAGAUGUAGAAAGGUUUUUCAUGAAACGUAAAUAGGUAGAAGUGGAAAUCUUCCAACAUUAACUACAUUAAGAAAUGAGCAUUACGAAAGUAAAACUUUGAUCUGUAAAAUUAUUUAAUUGGUCCUAUGUAUGGGUUCAAUUAUAUUUGUUAACUGUUA